RNAcentral lists this transfer RNA (71 nucleotides) under Camelus bactrianus (Bactrian camel). It matches the Rfam family "tRNA". From Rfam's summary of the family: Transfer RNA (tRNA) molecules are approximately 80 nucleotides in length. Lineage: Eukaryota; Metazoa; Chordata; Mammalia; Artiodactyla; Camelidae. RNAcentral also lists the same sequence under 2 other names. The record is from Rfam by way of RNAcentral.
GAGGCUCUAGCUCAGUGAUAGAGCUCUUGCUUAGCAUGCACGAGGUCCUAGGUCCAACCCUAGUAGCUCCA